This 614-nucleotide ribosomal RNA is filed under the name uncultured bacterium. RNAcentral's name for it is "bacterial SSU rRNA". The stretch from base 1 to 517 matches the Rfam family "Bacterial small subunit ribosomal RNA", at positions 338 to 873 of the family's 1533-position model. The record is from RNAcentral.
CCUACGGGAGGCAGCAGUGGGGAAUCUUGCACAAUGGAGGAAACUCUGAUGCAGCGAUGCCGCGUGAGUGAAGAAGGCCUUUGGGUUGUAAAGCUCCUUUGUAGGGGAAGAUAAUGACUGUACCCUAAGAAUAAGGUCCGGCUAACUUCGUGCCAGCAGCCGCGGUAAUACGAAGGGACCUAGCGUAGUUCGGAAUUACUGGGCGUAAAGCGCGCGUAGGCCGUUGAGUUAGUUAAUUGUGAAAUCCCAAAGCUUAACUUUGGAACUGCAAUUAAAACUGCUCGACUAGAGUUUGAUAGAGGAAAGCGGAAUACAUAGUGUAGAGGUGAAAUUCGUAGAUAUUAUGUAGAACACCAGUUGCGAAGGCGGCUUUCUGGAUCAACACUGACGCUGAGGCGCGAAAGUAUGGGUAGCAAAGAGGAUUAGAUACCCUCGUAGUCCAUACCAUAAACGAUGAUUGCUAGAUGUUGGAAAUUUAUUUUCAGUAUCGCAGCUACGCAUAAGUACAACUACCGCCGUCGGGUAGGUACGGACCGACCGAACGGUUAAAACGUUAAAACGGUAAAGUUAGUACGGCGUGAGACGUGCCGACGGACGACGACGAGGGAGGUAGG